RNAcentral lists this ribosomal RNA (544 nucleotides) under Bacillus cereus. Its description in RNAcentral is "bacterial SSU rRNA". It matches the Rfam family "Bacterial small subunit ribosomal RNA", at positions 996 to 1533 of the family's 1533-position model. Lineage: Bacteria; Bacillati; Bacillota; Bacilli; Caryophanales; Bacillaceae. The record is from RNAcentral.
AACCCUAGAGAUAGGGCUUCUCCUUCGGGAGCAGAGUGACAGGUGGUGCAUGGUUGUCGUCAGCUCGUGUCGUGAGAUGUUGGGUUAAGUCCCGCAACGAGCGCAACCCUUGAUCUUAGUUGCCAUCAUUUAGUUGGGCACUCUAAGGUGACUGCCGGUGACAAACCGGAGGAAGGUGGGGAUGACGUCAAAUCAUCAUGCCCCUUAUGACCUGGGCUACACACGUGCUACAAUGGACGGUACAAAGAGCUGCAAGACCGCGAGGUGGAGCUAAUCUCAUAAAACCGUUCUCAGUUCGGAUUGUAGGCUGCAACUCGCCUACAUGAAGCUGGAAUCGCUAGUAAUCGCGGAUCAGCAUGCCGCGGUGAAUACGUUCCCGGGCCUUGUACACACCGCCCGUCACACCACGAGAGUUUGUAACACCCGAAGUCGGUGGGGUAACCUUUUUGGAGCCAGCCGCCUAAGGUGGGACAGAUGAUUGGGGUGAAGUCGUAACAAGGUAGCCGUAUCGGAAGGUGCGGCUGGAUCACCUCCUUUCUAUGGA